UAGAGUUUUAUCAUGGCUCAGAUUGAACGCUGGCGGCAGGCCUAACACAUGCAAGUCGAGCGGUAGCACAGAAGAGCUUGCUCUUUGGGUGACGAGCGGCGGACGGGUGAGUAAUGUCUGGGAAACUGCCUGAUGGAGGGGGAUAACUACUGGAAACGGUAGCUAAUACCGCAUAACGUCUUCGGACCAAAGAGGGGGACCUUCGGGCCUCUUGCCAUCAGAUGUGCCCAGAUGGGAUUAGCUAGUAGGCGGGGUAAUGGCCCACCUAGGCGACGAUCCCUAGCUGGUCUGAGAGGAUGACCAGCCACACUGGAACUGAGACACGGUCCAGACUCCUACGGGAGGCAGCAGUGGGGAAUAUUGCACAAUGGGCGCAAGCCUGAUGCAGCCAUGCCGCGUGUGUGAAGAAGGCCUUCGGGUUGUAAAGCACUUUCAGCGGGGAGGAAGGCAGUAAGGUUAAUAACCUUGCUGAUUGACGUUACCCGCAGAAGAAGCACCGGCUAACUCCGUGCCAGCAGCCGCGGUAAUACGGAGGGUGCAAGCGUUAAUCGGAAUGACUGGGCGUAAAGCGCACGCAGGCGGUCUGUUAAGUUGGAUGUGAAAUCCCCGGGCUUAACCUGGGAACUGCAUUCAAAACUGACAGGCUAGAGUCUUGUAGAGGGGGGUAGAAUUCCAGGUGUAGCGGUGAAAUGCGUAGAGAUCUGGAGGAAUACCGGUGGCGAAGGCGGCCCCCUGGACAAAGACUGACGCUCAGGUGCGAAAGCGUGGGGAGCAAACAGGAUUAGAUACCCUGGUAGUCCACGCUGUAAACGAUGUCGACUUGGAGGUUGUGCCCUUGAGGCGUGGCUUCCGGAGCUAACGCGUUAAGUCGACCGCCUGGGGAGUACGGCCGCAAGGUUAAAACUCAAAUGAAUUGACGGGGGCCCGCACAAGCGGUGGAGCAUGUGGUUUAAUUCGAUGCAACGCGAAGAACCUUACCUACUCUUGACAUCCAGAGAAUUUGGCAGAGAUGCCUUAGUGCCUUCGGGAACUCUGAGACAGGUGCUGCAUGGCUGUCGUCAGCUCGUGUUGUGAAAUGUUGGGUUAAGUCCCGCAACGAGCGCAACCCUUAUCCUUUGUUGCCAGCGCGUAAUGGCGGGAACUCAAAGGAGACUGCCGGUGAUAAACCGGAGGAAGGUGGGGAUGACGUCAAGUCAUCAUGGCCCUUACGAGUAGGGCUACACACGUGCUACAAUGGCGUAUACAAAGAGAAGCGAACUCGCGAGAGCCAGCGGACCUCAUAAAGUACGUCGUAGUCCGGAUUGGAGUCUGCAACUCGACUCCAUGAAGUCGGAAUCGCUAGUAAUCGUAGAUCAGAAUGCUACGGUGAAUACGUUCCCGGGCCUUGUACACACCGCCCGUCACACCAUGGGAGUGGGUUGCAAAAGAAGUAGGUAGCUUAACCUUCGGGAGGGCGCUUACCACUUUGUGAUUCAUGACUGGGGUGAAGUCGUAACAAGGUAACCGUAGGGGAACCUGCGGUUGGAUCACCUCCUUACAAUAAAGAUGUGUGUUAAGUGAAGUGCUCACACAGAUUGUCUGAUGAAAAUACUGAGCAAGCGCACCUGUUGAUGUCAUGAGUGUAGACUCAUGCUGACGCGAUAGUGCCGGAUUUUUAAUUCGGUACGGAUUUUUCGUGUCCCCAUCGUCUAGAGGCCUAGGACACUGCCCUUUCACGGCUGUAACAGGGGUUCGAAUCCCCUUGGGGACGCCAAUCCGAUAAUGAGUGAAAGACAUUAUCACCGAAUAUCUUAAAGAUGAUUCUUUUGAGUCAUGUUUACGAUAUUGCUCUUUAACAAUCUGGAACAAGCUGAAAAUUGAAACAUGACAGCUGAACAUGCAUGACUGCCUUAGGGCGAGUUGUGAUGAGUCAGUGUGUCAAUGAGUCUCUCAAAUAAUCGCAGCGCGAUGAUGAAUCGAAAGAAACAUCUUCGGGUUGUGAGGUUAAGCGA
This 1991-nucleotide small RNA is filed under the name Pectobacterium atrosepticum. RNAcentral describes it as "bacterial SSU rRNA". The stretch from base 1 to 1537 matches the Rfam family "Bacterial small subunit ribosomal RNA". Lineage: Bacteria; Pseudomonadati; Pseudomonadota; Gammaproteobacteria; Enterobacterales; Pectobacteriaceae. The record is from RNAcentral.